Long non-coding RNA from Carassius gibelio (silver crucian carp), 1256 nucleotides. RefSeq lists it as uncharacterized. The transcript is spliced from 3 exons. Lineage: Eukaryota; Metazoa; Chordata; Actinopteri; Cypriniformes; Cyprinidae. The record is from RefSeq and is a predicted model, not a curated record.
UAUAGCCUACGUUACAUUUAGCCUUUCAUGACACCAAAAAACAACCAUGUAAAAGAGAGAAUGAUCAUGAAAUCAAAAGGAGGUGGAGAUCUUCUCAGUGUUAUAAUUUUUUGGAAGUAGCAUUUCAUUUGUGAACGAAUCGGGUUAGACAAAUUAAAUUAAAAAUAAUCUUUAAAUCGAACAAAUGAUUUUCGCUCACUUCCACUCUGACUCGCUUAUUCUGCCUUAUAAAGUUUUUAGCAUGUUUUCUUUCUUUUUGAAUUUAUUUUCUUCAGUCUUUGGUGUGUUUUGAGUUUGACAGAGAUUUGGCGCGAUCAAAUUGGCCAUAGUACAAGAGACUUUGGACACCUCAUUGGCCGCUGGACCGGACGCCGCCAUAUUGGUCCGGGCAACUCGAAUGAAGUGGUCUACAGAAAAGCUCACUGAUUCCCUCACUAUUUUGAGGUUUUACAAAUCUUCGUAAAAUCCUAAUUAUUUCUAGAGAAAUUCACCUUUCGCAUAUUCCAGAUUUUCAAAUAGUUAUCUCGGCCAAAUAUUGCCCUAUAUCCUGACAAAACAUACAUCAACGGAAAGCUUAUGCAGCUGUUUUUCAGGUGAUUUCGGAAAAUUUACACUUACAACUUUUGUUGUCCAGGGUCACAAAUCACGCAGUGGAACCAUCACAAACCUCAAGCAAGCCUGAAGGAAGCCUGCAUGGACUGUUUUGUGCAUUUACAAGAGCCUGCACCUCUUAUGCAUAUUAUAUAAUUUUAUUAAAUUAUAUUAUUAUAUGACUGAUACUAGACCUGUUAUAUGAUUGUAGUAUUCACUACUCACUGUUUAGUAUUUUUAUUUUAUUGACUAUUAUUUUUUAUGAAAAAAAAAUGAAAUAUAUGUAUGUGUGUGUGUGUGUGUGUGUGUGUGUGUGUGUGUGUGUGUGUGUGUGUACAGACAUACAAUAUGCUAUUUUAUUCAUAGUAAUUGCAUUAAUACUAUUUUAUACUCAUACUCAAUUUAUUUUUAGGCUAUUCAUAAUAAUAAUAAUAAUAAUAUGCUAGAAUAUAACCGCCAUAUACUGUAAAUUGAAAUACAUCUAACCUUUAACCUUAUAGUACAUUUAUAUUUCAUAAAUUUCAACUGUACUGUAGUUGUGUUAUAAAUGUUUACUGCUGUCAUUUAAUUAUUUACUGGAUCCAUUAAGAAUGAUCCUAUAAAUAGGGGUUCAAACUUUGAUAUUAACGUUGCCCAUUAGAGGGAGCCAUAGGAUAAGGAUUAUU